AAUAAAUGCUAGUGACAGGCGUAAGACAUGCAAGUUGAGCGUAAAAAGCGGCGAACGGGUGAGUAAUGCGUAAGAAUCUGCCCAAAAGUUCAGUAGAUCGAUUUUUAUCUAAUUCUGAAAACAAAAGAUGUUUCGCUUUUGGAGGAGCUUACGUAAGAUUAGGUAGUUGGUAAGGUAAAGGCUCUACC
This 188-nucleotide ribosomal RNA is filed under the name bacterium. Its description in RNAcentral is "partial 16S rRNA". It matches the Rfam family "Bacterial small subunit ribosomal RNA", at positions 29 to 269 of the family's 1533-position model. The record is from RNAcentral.